This 465-nucleotide ribosomal RNA is filed under the name uncultured bacterium. Its description in RNAcentral is "partial 16S ribosomal RNA". It matches the Rfam family "Bacterial small subunit ribosomal RNA", at positions 28 to 507 of the family's 1533-position model. The record is from RNAcentral.
GAUGGACGCUGGCGGCGUGCUUAACGCAUGCAAGUCGAACGGAAAGGCUCCUGCUUGCUGGGGUGCUCGAGUGGCGAACGGGUGAGUAACACGUGAGUGAUCUGCCCUGCACUUCGGGAUAAGCCUGGGAAACUGGGGCUAAUACCGGAUAGGACGAUGUGCUGCAUGGCGGGGUUUGAAGUUUUUCGGUGUGGGAUGAUGUCGCGGCCUCUCAGCUUGUUGGUGGGGUAAUGGCCUACCAAGGCGUCGACGGGUAGCCGGCCUGAGAGGGUGUACGGCCAAAUUGGGAAUGAGAUAAGGGCCCGGAUCCUACGGGAGGGAGGAGGGGGGAAUAAUGCAACAUGGGGGGAAGCCUGAUGCAGCGACGCCGGGUGGGGGAUGAAGGCCCUCGGGUUUUAAACUCGUUUCGCUAGGGAAGAAGCGGAAGUGACGGUAACUGGAGAAGAAGGCACGGCUAACUAAGUG